RNAcentral lists this ribosomal RNA (468 nucleotides) under uncultured bacterium. RNAcentral's name for it is "partial 16S ribosomal RNA". It matches the Rfam family "Bacterial small subunit ribosomal RNA", at positions 28 to 507 of the family's 1533-position model. The record is from RNAcentral.
GACGAACGCUGGCGGCGUGCUUAACACAUGCAAGUCGAACGGAAAGGCCCUGCUUUUGUGGGGUGCUCGAGUGGCGAACGGGUGAGUAACACGUGAGUAACCUGCCCUUGACUUUGGGAUAACUUCAGGAAACUGGGGCUAAUACCGGAUAGGAGCUCCUGCUGCAUGGUGGGGGUUGGAAAGUUUCGGCGGUUGGGGAUGGACUCGCGGCUUAUCAGCUUGUUGGUGGGGUAGUGGCUUACCAAGGCUUUGACGGGUAGCCGGCCUGAGAGGGUGACCGGCCACAUUGGGACUGAGAUACGGCACAGCCUCCUACGGGAGGCAGCAGUGGGGAAUAGUGCACAAUGGGCGGAAGCCUGAUGCAGCAACGCCGCGUGCGGGAUGACGGCCUUCGGGUUGUAAACCGCUUUCGCCUGUGACGAAGCGUGAGUGACGGUAAUGGGUAAAGAAGCACCGGCUAACUACGUG